Molecule: long non-coding RNA, 3122 nt
Filed under: Lynx pardinus (Iberian lynx)
Lineage: Eukaryota; Metazoa; Chordata; Mammalia; Carnivora; Felidae
Source: RNAcentral
UCCUGGUCUCCUUCCUUCCUCCUCUCCUUUCACAGGUGUGAGACCCACAUCAGGGUCUAAAGUCUCUCCCUGCCUCCCCCUACUUCCUCCCUCUUUCUCUUCACAGGUGUUUCCUCCAAUGACCCUCUCGGGCAUCUAACCCUGUCUUAGUGUGUACUUCUCAGAGGACCCAAACUUCUACACUAGUCCAUUCAGAGCUCCCGGUGGUCAAGUAAGAAAUGUUUUUAAAUAUAUCCUUUUGCAUUUGGUUUGGAUUUAUGUGGAGAGUUGGAAAGAACUGGUCAUAGAAGAACAAUCGUCCUCAUGCUCCUGGACCCAAGAGAGUUCCAGCAUCUUAAAGAACUCUCCUCUGAGACCAUAGUAAGUAACCAUAAUAAUAAUUACAAUGAAAUCAUUUCAUCUUUUACUUGCAAUAACCAUCUAAAUGCUGUGGGUGGGUAUUUAAAUGCUCGUGUUAGAGAGCAGGAGGCCCGGAAUGGUGAGGAGGCUUGCCUGAAGUGACAAUGGCUUUGUGGGUGGACAGGUCUAGAGAAGCCUGACAUCCUUCUUCUCAAUGCUGCCACAGCACAUGCUCCUGGUUUCACAUCCAACUGCAAGACAGAACCCAUUAAGAAUCAAUUCAAUAUGAAGUGACCCUUUUGGGUGACAUGAUUCAACCCAAAGACCUUCAUUUCUGCAAAAUAAGCAUCAAAUUCGAUGGGCAUUUUUUAACCACCCUUAACUGACUGUAACUGACUGGUCAGAGUCAUUCUCAGCAACAUGAAGCCCCCCCCCCCACCUCACACAUUCUAAUCACAGCACCUGGCACCAUGCCAAGAAUACAAACAGUGCAUCACAACAAUUGGCUGGCUGUUGUUGGAUGGACUGACUUUGGGUUUUCCCAAACGGCAUAGUCUUGUUUUCAAAGAUGACAACUAUAGCCGUCUUUGUAAAACGUGCACGUCAUUUCAGUGGCAAACUGAUGACGAUAGCAUGUGACAGAUAGCAUUUAUUGCACCCCUUUCUUUGUGCAGUGUCUGUGCCAGAACCACCCUCAAUUAUUAUCCCAUUUUGUAGAUGAGAAAAUUGAGGCUUGGAUCUAUUAAGCAACUUGCCCAGUAUGUCAUAGCUAAUAAGUGAUAGAGAUCAGAUGCCGCCCAGAAUGAAGAACCACUCGUCAUCCUCUCUCCUUCCCAGAGAUAAGCCAGAAUUGAGCACAAAGUCCCCACCUUGGUCCAAUAAUGGCGUGAAACAAGACUGAAAUCAUGAAUAAUACAGAAUGAUCACUCUUUAAAGAAAUAUUUCCCAGUGCUUCAUUCAAACUAGAUUUAAAAAGUGAUAGGAAGGGUGUGCAUUAGACCUUUUGGGCUGUGAGCUAAGUGGAAAGAGGUUUAUAAUUAUCUCAUUACAUACUUGAUAACAAAUGCUUCCAAGAUGCUUGCUGCAUUCCACACCAUUUCUCUUGGAUAUUUUCCACAGCUCGCUGUCAUUUUACUGACACUCUAAUAGAAAAGUUUGAACACCCAUAGGAAAUUGCCCAGAGAAAGGAAUGAAGGGAAUCGGACUUUGAUGGUUCCCUGUCUUGCUGAGGACAGGCUUGGUCAUAGCUGAGCAGUCAGUCCUUGAUUACACCACCAGCCUCCCCUACCCUGUUCUCUCCUUGACCACACUGACCAACGCAUACCAAAGGCGGAAAAUGGAUGGUGUGAUAUUCAUCUUUUACCGUGCUACCAAGUUUAGGAAGAGUCGUCUGCAUGGACAAGAAUAGUUCCAGGACUGCUUCUCUCAGACUCGGAGAAAUAAGGAAAACAAAAAGAAUAAAUAGGGGAAAAGGCAAGGAGAGGACAUUCUAGUCAUUAUUUCUUCACGUAUUACUUACUCAUCCCCCAACAAAACCAUACUGAGUGCCUAUUUUAGGUCAGGCACUGAGUUAGGAACUGGUCAACUAAAUAGACGUGAGAAGGAAAUGACAAAAAAGAUAUGGCAGACUCUCCCUGCCCGUGAGCAUGCCACUUCUUUCCUAGUUCCAGCCACAGUAGAUGAAUCAUGGUUCUUCUCAGACAAUCAUGGUUAUCACACCCCCUUUGGGAGCAAUUAGUUUAGGGUCAGAUGAGUGACACAUUUCUGGCCAAUGGCACAUAAUGAGAAGUUUGCAAGGGGCCUUCUGGAGAAGAUUUCCUUCCCCAGCACAAAGGAAGUAAAGGAGGGGGCCCUUUUUGCCACCUGCUUUCUUUCAUCCUGCAUGAAAAGAUGUCCUGAAAAGACAUGAUGCUUAGAGCAGAGGCAGCCACAUUGCAACCAUGAGGAGAGUCAUCACCGAAACUCCAAGGAUGGGAGAACACAAAGAUGUGCGGAACGUGGGUCUGCAAUGUCACAUCAAGGUGAUAUGCAUCAGAAUCCAACAAACAUGUGAUCAGUUCAAGUAGGCUUAACCCUUGGUAGGAUUUGUGGAGUGUCUUGUUUUAUUAAUAAUUACAAAAAAAGAGAGAUUUAGUCCAGCUCUAUUUUGUACCAGGCAAUGGGCAAGGUGCCCUUUACAACAUCUUUUUUCAUCAGCACAAGAGAGGCACGCUGAUGCUCACAGGGGUAAGAUAUGGCAGCCACUUCAUAUCCGCCCCACCCAGCUCCGAUCUGUAAUUCCCUCUCCUCCUAUUAAUAGCACCUCAAUUCUCCUGUGGGUGGUUCCUGAUGAACCAUCAGCUGUGGUGUCUUGGCCCCCUCUCACAUACCUGAUACAUAGCAAAGCUUAAAAAAUCUACUGUUUUCUCUAAAGCACACUUGUCUUAUUCUCUUGAUCCCAUUAGAUAUAUAGCUACAUCGAUAUCAAUAUCGAUAUUGAUGUUGAUAUUGAUAUCGAUAUAGAUAUAUUGGGGUCAAUAUAGAUAGAGAUAGAUAGAUGAUGGCUAGAUCUGCUCUUCUCUCAAGGUUUGACCAAAUUAAAAAAAAAAGACUAUCUCUCAUAUCUCUUGCAGGAAACAACAUAUUUUAAAAACAUUUACCAUAAAAGUAAGGUUCUUCUUAGGAGACAAGCGAAGUUCCGGUCUUCCAAAUGCUGAUUUUUCUCAUUGCAGACUAGCUUCGUGUACGUGGAGAAGGUGCACCAUUACCAGGAAACAAAGAGUCAGAGAGAAAAUAUAUGGUAG